Long non-coding RNA from Pecten maximus, 1915 nucleotides. RefSeq lists it as uncharacterized. The transcript is spliced from 2 exons. The record is from RefSeq and is a predicted model, not a curated record. NCBI's taxonomy places the organism in Eukaryota, Metazoa, Mollusca, Bivalvia, Pectinida, Pectinidae.
AAGUAAUCAACUGCACGGAGGUUAUAUAAUUUGGUAAAAUAUCAACAUUGCUCCGCGAAUAAAUGACAACUUGGCUUGCCAUAUGUUCCCCUUACCAGGGAUGCUUCUUACUGAAAUGGGUUCAAAUCCAUACACAACUGUAUGACCAGUAGCAGUUUAAAGGAAUUCAUAUUUCCUCUAUUGGGCCCCGCCUCUCUGGCCCCUUAUGGGUCAGAGUCACCGUUUAUGCAAGAUCUAUUCCACUUACUCCAAGGAUGUUUCUGACUAGAUUGGGUUAAAAUCCAUUCAGUACUUUAUGUUAAGUUUCCCGUAUUGGACCUUACCCCUCUGGCACUAGGGGGUGUCAAUCACAAUUUAUGCAAAAACUGUUCCACUUCCCCUAAAGAUGUUUAUGACCAAAUUUGGUUCAAAUCCAUUCAGCACUUCAUGACAAGUAGCAAUUUGGGCCCCGUCUCUCUGGCCCCAGAGGAAUCAGAGUCACCAUUAAUGCAAAAUCUAUUACCCUUACCAUAAGGAUCUUUUGGCCAAAUUUACUUAAAAUCUAUUUAGUAUUUUAUGACUAGUAGCGAUUUUAAGCAAAUGUUGGCGAACGACGGACGACGAAUGCCGCACCAAGGCAUGAUUAGCUCACCGGUCCUUUGGGCCAAGUGAGCUAAAAACUGAAUUUGUAAAGGGAUUUCCAUUAUUUUGUGCUACACAGAUAUACAAGGUACAUGGAUUGACCCUUCAUACCAUAUUUUACGGAUAGAAAAAAUACAGAAAAUAGUAACUCAGAAUCGCUGAGACGACGUGGAAAUGUAGAUUUGUGUGGGGACCUUUGAAGUAGUACAAGGAGAAGAAGACCAGGUGUUCCGGAAUGGUAAGCUGUUUUGCUUUGUUGACAUUUAACAGCAUCCGUGCAAAUCUAGGUCAACAAGUAACCAUAGAAAAAUAUAGAUUUAUUUGCACAAAAAAUUCAUAGAAAUUCCACCAUCACCCUUUUAGAUGGUGAGCUGUUCAAGUUGCACUUCCCACGUCUCUAAACAAUGUUUUCAGUAUUUCUUGGGAGGCACUUUCUCAAAUUUGAUGACUACAUAGAUGGCCUUCUGUUCGUACGCAGAUGAGUUCUAUUUAUUUUUGAUUGACCAGGAAAUUAUCUCUCAUUAAGGUAUGGGCCUUUCUCAAAUUCCAUUUCUAUAUUUUCUGUUUCCAUUCUUAAUAGAAGUGCUGUUCAAAGAUUAAGUGACCCUUGCUGUUAAUAGGACGUUCAACAAAAACAAACCAAACCAAAAUCAAAGAUUAAGUGGACGUUGCUUUGAAUGAUUUUCUUUCUAGGGGAAAUACUAGUCCUAAUUUUAAAUGGUUCUACCAUUAGAAAUGAAAAUCCAGGCUUCAAAAUAUGAUCAGCACAAACUGAGACUAAACAAAUCAUUAUUUUUAUUAUUUUAUUUUUGAAACAAAUUACCUUAAUCUACCAUCCCUAACACAUCAAUGCCUUGUCUAUGCACAUACAUAUGGAUACAUGAAACAACCCCAAACUAUAAAGUAAUGUCACGAUCAUUUAAUAAAUAAUAUUGCAGUACAUUUUGCCCCCCGUUUAUCAACAUUCAUUAACUUAAUAUGUUCCAUGGGAAAACAUAAUUGGAUUUACGUUUUUUAUAAUGUUAAGGAGCUUCCCUUAAAUUCUGUUAUGCUUUUCUAUUGAAUAUUUUGAGUUAAGGAAAUAUUUUUACAAGUGCUUAACACAACUGCCAUACAGACAUCUCGUUUUAAACUCUUUGAGAACCCAGAUGUAGUUAUUAAUGUCAUCGACACAUGUUAAAACACCAUACAUAGUAUAAUUCAAAGUGCAGUUAGUUUUAGCUUCAUGGGCGGCCCAGUUUUGUUGAUUUUGUCGUGAGCUUGAUCACUUGACCCUAUUCAUCUAGAGGUAAAA